RNAcentral lists this ribosomal RNA (724 nucleotides) under Vibrio sp. KR08-18. RNAcentral describes it as "bacterial SSU rRNA". It matches the Rfam family "Bacterial small subunit ribosomal RNA", at positions 78 to 789 of the family's 1533-position model. Lineage: Bacteria; Pseudomonadati; Pseudomonadota; Gammaproteobacteria; Vibrionales; Vibrionaceae. The record is from RNAcentral.
CUUCGGGGAACGAUAACGGCGUCGAGCGGCGGACGGGUGAGUAAUGCCUAGGAAAUUGCCUUGAUGUGGGGGAUAACCAUUGGAAACGAUGGCUAAUACCGCAUAAUGCCUACGGGCCAAAGAGGGGGACCUUCGGGCCUCUCGCGUCAAGAUAUGCCUAGGUGGGAUUAGCUAGUUGGUGAGGUAAUGGCUCACCAAGGCGACGAUCCCUAGCUGGUCUGAGAGGAUGAUCAGCCACACUGGAACUGAGACACGGUCCAGACUCCUACGGGAGGCAGCAGUGGGGAAUAUUGCACAAUGGGCGCAAGCCUGAUGCAGCCAUGCCGCGUGUAUGAAGAAGGCCUUCGGGUUGUAAAGUACUUUCAGUCGUGAGGAAGGUUCAUGCGUUAAUAGCGUAUGGAUUUGACGUUAGCGACAGAAGAAGCACCGGCUAACUCCGUGCCAGCAGCCGCGGUAAUACGGAGGGUGCGAGCGUUAAUCGGAAUUACUGGGCGUAAAGCGCAUGCAGGUGGUUUGUUAAGUCAGAUGUGAAAGCCCGGGGCUCANCCUCGGAACUGCAUUUGAAACUGGCAAACUAGAGUACUGUAGAGGGGGGUAGAAUUUCAGGUGUAGCGGUGAANUGCGUANAGAUCUGAAGGAAUACCAGUGGCGAAGGCGGCCCCCUGNNNAGAUACUGACACUCAGAUGCGAAAGCGUGGGGGAGCAAACAGGAUUANAUACCCUG